AUUAACAAUAAGUUGUCGAAUGAACUAUCACGAAAAGGUCUGAGCUAAACAUGCAUGAACACAUUGCACACGUAGCAUAGUAUGCGUUAAAUGCGUGUUUAGGAGUGAUAGGCUUUUCAAAUAUCUUAAUAACUUGUUUCAUAAAAAAAGUAUUAAGUACAUAAACAAAUUUACAAAGUUAAGCUUUUAAAUGGUUAUAAAAAAUAUUAUUUUAUAAUAGCGCAGUGUAAAAGCUGGCUAUAAGAAAAACUUAGCAUUAAGUAUAAUAAUUUAUAUUUACUAUUAUGACAAUAAAAUUCUGUUACCAUUUGAUAAUGUUAUUAUAAGUAGUAUUAAUAUAUGUGUUAAAGGAACUCGGCAAAGAACUACUCAACUGUUUAUCAAAAACAUAGCUGUGUGUAUUAAUACACAGUAAUUUCUGCUCCAUGCUUAGUAAAUAGCCGCAGUACUCUGACUGUGCAAAGGUAGCAUAAUCAGUUGGCUUUUAAUUAAAGUCUGGUAUGAAUGAAAAUAUGGGUAGUAACUGUCUUAGCAUACUUAUUUGAAAUUACUGAGCAAGUGCAAAUACCUGCAACUAAAAUAAUAGACGAGAAGACCCUAGAAACUUGAGCUAGUUUUUGUUGGGGCGACAAAAUUACAGUUAACUAAUUUUAUAAUACAUGACGCAAAGUAGAAAGAAUAAGUUACUCUAGGGAUAACAGCAUAAUUUUUAAGUUUGUGACCUCGAUGUUGGACUAGGUACUGCACCCUUAAGACAGGGGUGUAUUAUGCUCUGUUCGAGCAGAUUUACCUACAUGAUCUGAGUUCAGACCGG
This 814-nucleotide ribosomal RNA is filed under the name Helix thessalica. Its description in RNAcentral is "partial large subunit ribosomal RNA". The stretch from base 330 to 572 matches the Rfam family "Archaeal large subunit ribosomal RNA", at positions 1785 to 2143 of the family's 2987-position model. Lineage: Eukaryota; Metazoa; Mollusca; Gastropoda; Stylommatophora; Helicidae. The record is from RNAcentral.